Long non-coding RNA from Brassica napus (rape), 2583 nucleotides. RefSeq lists it as uncharacterized. The transcript has 2 exons. The record is from RefSeq and is a predicted model, not a curated record. Lineage: Eukaryota; Viridiplantae; Streptophyta; Magnoliopsida; Brassicales; Brassicaceae.
ACGACUCCUUAUUCAAAUCGAUAUUGACUCGUUCCGUUUUUUUUGCACCAGUAGCAGACAACGUGACACACAAGGUUGUUGACGAACUCUUCUUCGUGUAGCUCACAAAAUUAGAUACUUGUCGAUCAUUGCUGAUAAUAAUGGGGGGGGGGAUUCCCUCUUUGAUUCACCAUCUCAUAACUGAACUCGGCAUUAACGAGCAUAUGGUCGACCCCAUAAUCCUCACACACGAUGAUCUUGAGCUGCUUCAACAAAGUAGUAGUUUCUAAUGUUACCAUUCGACCACCCCUUGUUUUGUCUGCCAAGAAACUGCACUGAUCACCGCAACUUGAGAUCCAUUCACCAGAUUUAACAUAGAUUAGAACCAUGUUGUAUUGAUAGAUAGAAGAGAUGGUUAUGUCGAUGAACAAGAGAGAAAAACAAAGAACGAAGGAGAGAAAGAUCGUGGGGUGGGAGGAGAAAAACGCGGGAGAGAAGAUACUAUGAGAGAUUUAGGGUAGAUUUGGUUUAGAUUUAGGAAAGAUAUUUAUUGAAAUAUGGAAGUUUCCAUAUUUUCGUGAUUUACCCAUAAUAUGUAAUAUACGUAUAUCAGAGCGCUUAAGGGAGGGUGUGAGAUUUAUCUUCCUUACGCAUUUGAUAACGUAAAAGGCAGAAAAUGUUAUGACACAAAAAAAAAAGUAUUUCACAGAGUCGAGGUUAGAACUUGUAAACAAACUAUAAGUAGAGUAAAGAUAUCUUGUUAGAAUAUUACCUGACAAAAUAUAGCUAGCAUAGAAUAUUGAAGAAAAUUUUAUUUGUAUUAUGUACCCAGGAUAAAUCUGUGUGUAAUACUUACUAUCCGAUUUCUAGACUAAGUAGAUGACUAGAAUGAAUAUUAUAUCUCUCCUAGAACAUAAAAAUACAUGAUUCCACUGUUGUUAAAAAUAAAAUUUAAACAUAUAAAUAGUCAUAAUAAUGUUUCUAAUUAUUUACAUAUUUUUUUUAUAUUUUUAAAACUUAGUUUACUAUUUUUUCCAUUGCAGAAAGGUAAAACCUGUCCAAAAUGACCAAAAAUAUCAAAAGUCAUAUUUUGACAAACAAAAAUUGAAAGUGUCUCUGUUUCCCAAUUUUCCCUAUUUCAAACCCCACUAUAUUUUUUACACUAAACUCUAUUACAGAGUAAAACUUUCUCCAAUCUCACUAUAUUUUCCACUCUAAAAUAUUGCAACUCUAUUUUUUACUCUAUAUUUGGAAUAACUCUAUUUCUUACUUUAUUAUAGAACGUAACUUUUUUUAUUUAUACUUUAGUCAUUUUAUUCUUUAAUCUUUCUAUUUUGUAACUAUUUGUGUAAAUUAAUUAUGCAAACAAUACAUUAUGUUCAACACAAUAUAUAUAAGAGAUUUUUACUUUCUAAGACACAUUUUGUCUUACAUAUUACACAUUGAGAUACUUUGUCCAUGUGACACACUUUAUCUUGUUGCAAUGUCACAUAUACUCUCAAACCUAACCUAAGCACACUUGCCUUUAACUAUACUGAGUUAACCAAAUACCCAUGUGUCUCGUUGGCCAAGAAUUUGAAAAAAAAAAAGAAAAAUAGAAAGACAAACACCACUUUCGUUUCGAAAGUAGAUCUAUUUUCCCUCAUCCUCUCCCACUUCAUCCUCUCCGGCGCCGCAGUCGUAACACUCUCACUCGAACCCCGCCGCGAACCAUGAGGAAACCGAAGACCACGAAGAAAGUGAAGAUAUCCGUUAAGGGACGAGUGUUAUGUUAGGUUAAUUCACCGCAGUCGUAACACUCUCAAUGAGAGAUAGAGGUUGAAGCUUCUCCAGAUGUACCUCCUCAUAAUCACAAGCUCAACUCCACCGCGAUUCUACCAGUACUCGUCUUACAUCUCUCGUCCCGUCCUCCAAUGACUCGCCACAACCUACUUCUCUUGUCGCUAGCUCCCCUGUUUUCAACCUAUCAUUCACACACCGACUGUCCACAAUUCCAGUGAACACAACACAUCCAUUGUCAACACAUCUCCUGGCCACAGCGGCACCAGUGGUCACGUCACCAUGUUUAUCGAGGAACCAUACAUCCUCCUCCUCUGGACACUCAGAUGAUCACCACUACUGAUUCUCCCACAGUACUCGUCCUACACCUCUCGUCCCAUCCUCCAAUGACUCACCACAACCUACUUCUCAUGUCGCUAGCUCCCCUAUUUUCAACCCUAUCAUUCACACACUGACCUUCCAUAAUUCUAGUGACCACAACACAUCCAGUGUCCACACAUCUCCUGACCACAGCGGCACCGGUGGUCACGUCACCCUGUUUAUCGAGGAACCAUACAUCCUCCUCCUCUUGACACUCAGAUGAUCACCACUACCGAUUCUCCCACAAAAAAAAUACCUUCAGACUAGCAAAUCACUCUGCCCACCUUUUGUGUAACAUAUGGGUAUCUUGUUGAAUUCGGGUUCUUUAUCUUUUGUCUUUUGAUGCGCUGCUUGCCAAUGAUGUUUUAGGCAAUAACGAUAUGCUAUAUUCUCCCUUUCCAGGCUUCGUAACUGUAACUUUGUUCCAUUGCGAUAGUGGCAUCUUAUUCUAUGGUUUUAUCCUCA